This 157-nucleotide ribosomal RNA is filed under the name Micrococcus luteus. Its description in RNAcentral is "partial 16S ribosomal RNA". It matches the Rfam family "Bacterial small subunit ribosomal RNA", at positions 1 to 155 of the family's 1533-position model. Lineage: Bacteria; Bacillati; Actinomycetota; Actinomycetes; Micrococcales; Micrococcaceae. The record is from RNAcentral.
UUUUACGGAGAGUUUGAUCCUGGCUCAGGAUGAACGCUGGCGGCGUGCUUAACACAUGCAAGUCGAACGAUGAAGCCCAGCUUGCUGGGUGGAUUAGUGGCGAACGGGUGAGUAACACGUGAGUAACCUGCCCUUAACUCUGGGAUAAGCCUGGGAA